UACAGAGGUCUCAAGCGUUGUUCGGAUUCAUUGGGCGUAAAGGGCGCGUAGGCGGUGGGGUAAGUCUGGUGUGAAAUCUCGGAGCUUAACUCCGAAACUGCAUUCGAUACUGCCGUGCUUGAGGACUGGAGAGGAGACUGGAAUUUACGGUGUAGCGGUGAAAUGCGUAGAUAUCGUAAGGAAGACCAGUGGCGAAGGCGGGUCUCUGGACAGUUCCUGACGCUGAGGCACGAAGGUCAGGGGAGCAAACGGG
RNAcentral lists this ribosomal RNA (253 nucleotides) under uncultured bacterium. RNAcentral describes it as "partial 16S ribosomal RNA". It matches the Rfam family "Bacterial small subunit ribosomal RNA", at positions 524 to 776 of the family's 1533-position model. The record is from RNAcentral.